This 325-nucleotide long non-coding RNA is filed under the name Mytilus galloprovincialis (Mediterranean mussel). The record is from RNAcentral. Lineage: Eukaryota; Metazoa; Mollusca; Bivalvia; Mytilida; Mytilidae.
CUGAUAAACAGGCUUCACUUGAUAUGAACGAUGCAGAUAGACCAUACGGAGAACAGGAAGCAAGAGACGCAUUUAAUAGAAUGGUAAAACGAUAUGGCUGGAAUUCAUAAAAGGAGAAAAUGUUUGUAUGUGUAUGUUGCAUAAGAGAAGAUGUGUGAGUCAGAAGUAGACUGUAAGUUAAAGUGUAUUUCCUUACAGAAGAGAAUCUUGAUAUGGGAAGGUUAAAUUGAGAAUAAAAUCACUAGAGAACGUUUUUAAUUCAUAAUUAGUAUUAUUAUGAAUCAUGGACAUUUUAGAUGUUAGAUUUCAUACUGCAUGGACCAGC